GCCAGACUCCUACGGGAGGCAGCAGUGGGGAAUAUUGGGCAAUGGGCGCAAGCCUGACCCAGCAACGCCGCGUGAAGGAAGAAGGCUUUCGGGUUGUAAACUUCUUUUCUCAGGGACGAAGCAAGUGACGGUACCUGAGGAAUAAGCCACGGCUAACUACGUGCCAGCAGCCGCGGUAAUACGUAGGUGGCAAGCGUUAUCCGGAUUUACUGGGUGUAAAGGGCGUGUAGCCGGGCUGACAAGUCAGAUGUGAAAUCCGGGGGCUCGACCCCCGAACUGCAUUUGAAACUGUUGGUCUUGAGUAUCGGAGAGGCAGGCGGAAUUCCUAGUGUAGCGGUGAAAUGCGUAGAUAUUAGGAGGAACACCAGUGGCGAAGGCGUCUUACUGGACCGAAACUGACGUUGAGGCUCGAAAGCGUGGGGAGCAAACAGGAUUAGAUACCCUAGUA
Molecule: ribosomal RNA, 448 nt
Filed under: uncultured bacterium
Lineage: Bacteria
Description: partial 16S ribosomal RNA
Rfam family: Bacterial small subunit ribosomal RNA
Source: RNAcentral